Non-coding RNA from Pelobates cultripes (western spadefoot toad), 214 nucleotides. The record is from the annotation of a GenBank genome assembly. NCBI's taxonomy places the organism in Eukaryota, Metazoa, Chordata, Amphibia, Anura, Pelobatidae.
CAUAUCUAUCCUUCCUAAUACACGAGUAUGUCCCAGCGAGCCCACUGCGUUCUGCUGAAGAGCUACGUAUAUCCUCUGACUUCUGGCUGCACCUUUUCUGUGGAACUCCCUUCCCUUCUCCGUUAGACUUUCACCCAGUCCCCACUCCUUCAAAUAAUCUUUGAAAACUCACUUCAGGAAAGCAUAUAAUUUUUAGCGGGUUUUCAUUCCUGCC